RNAcentral lists this small nuclear RNA (20 nucleotides) under Arabidopsis thaliana (thale cress). RNAcentral's name for it is "snRNA_18197". The record is from RNAcentral. Lineage: Eukaryota; Viridiplantae; Streptophyta; Magnoliopsida; Brassicales; Brassicaceae.
GCUAGAAGCGACGCAUGCGC